This is a small nucleolar RNA of Nannospalax galili (Upper Galilee mountains blind mole rat), 127 nucleotides long. The record is from Ensembl. Lineage: Eukaryota; Metazoa; Chordata; Mammalia; Rodentia; Spalacidae.
AGGUCAUUUCAAAGAGAGUUUGUGGGACUGAAAACUGCACAUUCUUAGUGUUGUGACCAAAGAUUGGUGCUCUCCACAGAAUGACAGAGUCACUUCAUAGUGCUGUGUUUUCUGAGGAGAGACAUCC